Molecule: long non-coding RNA, 935 nt
Organism: Magnolia sinica
Lineage: Eukaryota; Viridiplantae; Streptophyta; Magnoliopsida; Magnoliales; Magnoliaceae
Exons: 5
Source: RefSeq, a predicted model, not a curated record
GUCAAUAUUUAUGUAAGGAUAUGCUAAGUGUUUGUGUGUCUAUUUAUAUGUAUAUUUAAUGGUGGAGACAUGGUGGGGAUGGUUGUUUUCUCCAAGUCUCAUGUAUGUAUCUUUCUUCAUAUUUUUCUAUGGAAGCUCGAUAUUACUCAUACUACUAUGCUUCUCUUGUCAGAUUUUGGUUCAGUCCUUCAUAAAAUCAAGAUAUCAGAGGAGCAAAGAAAAUAUUUUAUUGAUAACACAGAGCCCCUGGUAGCAUUUGCUUCCGCUCUUUAUUAUCCUUUGUGAUAGUUGGCAUUACAGAGCUUGUUUCCUGAUUUCUGAGUACAAUUUAGCCGACUGGAGCUUCGGAUCUUUAUGCAUCUUGCAAACUGUCAGAGCAUGUUGAAUGCCUUCAAGGCUGGUGGGGAUUUCCAUUCAAGGAUGGCAAUGAAUAUGUACCCACAUAUUCGCAAGGCUGUAGAGGGAAAAGGGGUGUUGCUUGAAUGGUAGCCUCAACCUAGGGAAGACAAACCUCCAGUUCCUCUAUUAAAGGAUGCCUUUGCUUUUGAGAGAUGAAAAGCGAAAUUGCUCAACUUCUCUAUUGCAUAUGGGAAAACUCCUGUUGGGCUGGCCCGUGAUUGUAAGUGGCGCUACCCAAGAUCAUGGAGGCAACGGGGUAUGAAAUAAUUAACGAUGGAUGUAGAUUGCCUGUAAGACUAUCUCUAAAGCGCAACGUGGCCCAAGUUCUCAGAGGCCCACUGUGAUGUAUGUAUUUUAUCCACUCCAUCCAUCUGUUUUGCCAGCUCAAAUUGACUACCUAAGCAAAGGAUUGGAUUUAGCUAAAAUUUUACCACUUACGUAAUUUAAAUCCCAAGAUGAUUGUGAUUUUUCCAUUGAUGUAAUUCUAAUACUUAUCCCAAGUAGUUAUGAAUGUGCCAUUGAUGUAAUUUUUAAUA